CAUUUAUCUUCGUUUCCGCCACACCCAUGGAGAAGCCCCCGUCCCUUCAACUGCAAAUACCGCGGCUGCUGCCCGCUACCUCCAAGUCUAAGCCCCCGCCUGAUGUGGGGCUUAGUGGAGCGAGCGCGCGGAGAUGCCCUCGCGAGGGAGGGAUACGUCCAGCUUGGUUGAGGAUCAUACAGGUGAUGCUCUUGCAAGUUAUGCAGUUGCUGCCUCAGGAUUCCGGCUUCCCUUUGCCAAAGCUAGUUAAUGUUGUUAGCACUUGAACCCUGGUUGAUUAGAACCACCUUUUUCCUGACUGCAAUUGUCAAUAGUUCAGAGUCAGUAUUACAGGUUUCUAUCACAAGUACUGGAGGAUGAAGCAUUGAAGUCGUCAACAGAUCGACGAUGCAGUGAUCAGGAUCAUCUGUCAGAUCGAUGAUCUAAUGGUUACUAAGAGCAGAGACGAUUGCUGAGCAUUCAAGUUUCUUCUGCAUAUUAUUUAUGAAUCAGUUAUGCUAAGCGAUGUAUUUUUGCUAAUGCAUGGUGCUCUAUAUGUCAGAAAUCAAGUAUCAACUGCAUACUGGCUAUGAGCUAUUGUUUAUCUGGGACUGGGAGCUUAUUUAUGUUCCUCAGCUUUUAGUUCCUAAAGCGGAUAAUUCCAUGAUUCCACUACCCUUUGAGAUAAUCAAAACCGGACCCUGUCAGCUCAUUCCGGUUCAACCUGUGGAUCUGUAAUACAAGGUUGUACUGCAUCCUGUUUGUAAUACAAGCUCUUAUUUCCCAGAGAAAGGGGUCAACAUUCUUUUGAUUA
Panicum hallii is the source of this 793-nucleotide long non-coding RNA. RefSeq lists it as uncharacterized. NCBI's taxonomy places the organism in Eukaryota, Viridiplantae, Streptophyta, Magnoliopsida, Poales, Poaceae. The transcript has 4 exons. The record is from RefSeq and is a predicted model, not a curated record.